UUGAACGCUGGCGGCAUGCCUUACACAUGCAAGUCGAACGGUAGAGGGGCAACCCUUGAGAGCGGCGAACGGGUGAGUAAUAUAUCGGAACGUGCCCAGUCGUGGGGGAUAACGCAGCGAAAGCUGCGCUAAUACCGCAUACGAUCUAUGGAUGAAAGCGGGGGAUCGCAAGACCUCGCGCGAUUGGAGCGGCCGAUAUCAGAUUAGGUAGUUGGUGGGGUAA
Molecule: ribosomal RNA, 223 nt
Filed under: uncultured bacterium
Lineage: Bacteria
Description: partial 16S ribosomal RNA
Rfam family: Bacterial small subunit ribosomal RNA
Source: RNAcentral